Molecule: long non-coding RNA, 2750 nt
Organism: Thunnus maccoyii (southern bluefin tuna)
Lineage: Eukaryota; Metazoa; Chordata; Actinopteri; Scombriformes; Scombridae
Exons: 2
Source: RefSeq, a predicted model, not a curated record
GACACAGAGAAGCAUAAUAACAACAACAAUAACAAUAACAACUAUAAUAAUAAUAGAAAUAUGACCUUUAAUUUAACCGAGAUGUUACAGCUAUUGUAGUCUUAAUCAUCUCAAUAGGGAACAAGGUGUUUAAAAUAGCUCGAGGUCACCACAUCUUUUGCUCCACACUGAUUGAGCUGCUCCCAUUUCCUGUUUUGUAGGGAUGUGGCAACACUGUUUUACUUUUAUUGCCCUUUGUUCAAUUGUUCUCCCUGAAAACGGCUACUAGCUCUGUAAUCUACCUGAACAUUGUCCUUGUCCAUUUCAUGCUGACAUAGACGGGCAGAUUGGAACAUCGUGUUUGUUAUUUUGCAAUAAGAGUAAGAUGUAUGAUGGUGUAAUUUUUUUUGUAGGAACAAGGACAUUUUUGUUUUUGGAUGUUUGUUUAUUCUCUAGUUAUUUUUGUAGAAAAUGUUGCUUACUUUAUGAACUGCCUAUACAAAUUACUCACAAAUUAUUGUUAAUAAAUAUUUUGUACCAAGUUCAACCGUGUUGACUGAAAACACAUGAACAUAACAUACAAAUUCAACAGAGAAAACCUUAGUGGGUCCAUGUUUAUGUGAGAGAGAAUACAGAAGAGUGAGGCCAAUACAAAUACAUUUACUGUAUAUUUAGUGCUCUGGGAACGGUGUUUCUCCUUUACUUCAGGCUGUAAAUUUUGUUUGAACUGGCCGAACGGAGAGAAAAAGAAAGAGAGAGAGAGAUUGAGCUUUGCUCUAGGUAAUAACUUUGUCCUUUGUCUCCAUGGCAACAUACAAUAGAGGAAGUUAACAAAGCACUGACCUGCCCACUUUUACCUGGCACUAUCCAGCGAGACAAUCCCUUAGCUGUUCCAGGUUUGCAGGAAGUGGAGAGUCAGUCGUAAAAUGGAGACAUGCUCACUGCCAGGGAGGUGAUCUGAGACAGUUUUCACUCAUACGGACAAAACAAGGUAAUCUGGAUUUUUUAAAAUCACAAUCUACAGCAAUGAAGUCUACAAAACCAAGUAAAUUGUUAAUCACGUUUCGGACUUAUAUAAGCUUUCAAAUGAAAAAGAGAUUACAAAUGUUUCCAUCGACAUAACGCCGCAAGAUCACAGGGUAGGCAGGCAAUAAUUAUGUAAUGUUUUAGUGUCUACAAAGUUGUUUCCUUUUGUAAAUAUGCUGGUGUAAUCUUUGAAAAUACAUCACAUAUGACCUCCUUAUAAUGGGUACAGUGUUUAGGGAAUAACUUUGACUGCCUAAUAUUAUCUCGGCCUUACAGAGCAAACUCAGACUUUAGUGAACAUUAUUAAGAUAAGGGAAAGAUAAAUUCAUGUCUUUACCAGUACAGUGUUGACAGUGUUCAUUUUAUACACACUCAUAUUUGACAAGUUUUUGCGUCCCAUGCUUUGUUUCCCAGCACAGGACUUAAUGGCCAUGGAUACCAUCUUUGCUACUCUGGCUUGUUGCCUUCUGGCUCCUUCUUUUGCUAUGGCACAAACUGAAAAGGGGAAUUUGAGUUUGACUCUCACAGCUACAGUAACAACCCCUGACUUAAAUUUGACACACAUCACUACAACGGUAACAUCCAACUCGACUGUGCACGCAACUGUUACUUCAGACUUGACUGACGACACAGCAUUUACCAGCAUGCCCCCAAACAAUGAAACAUUCACCACGACCACGACAGUAACAACUGAGAGUACCAACCACAGCGAGACUUCUCAGUCUACAACUAUCAUGACUCCUCUAACAAACAGUACAUCACUGACGACCACAACACCUGGCACUCAAACGCCAACAUUUACUGUGCUGACAACGCCAGCAAACCAGACCACAGUAGAUUACAUAAGUACAUCUGAUACUGCAUUAAUCACAACUGCAAAUUCAUCUACCACUGUCAAUGCAACCUCAGAUCAAACAUACAGCACCUCACAAGGUAAGGCAAGGAUCCAUGUUUUUAAGUGCAGUUUUAUUACAGAUUUGAUUGCUCAUUGUAUGUUUUUAUCUGACUUUUUUUCCCCGCUGUGCCACUAGGUUCGGGACUCAACAUUCCAGAAAAGAAUAUGACAGUUCUCUUCAGUGUUGUACUUGGAGUGUUUGCUUUUGCAUUGGUUAUGUUCAUGUUUCACAGAUGUAAACAUAAAACCCAGUACUUGCACCAACCUCUAAACAACACCAAUGACGCGGAUGCAUUUGCAGCAGCCGACGACACACUUGUAAUUUCUGGAGGACUUUAUGAUGGCCAUCCAAUCUACGACAACGUACCGCCUGCCCCUGUAAACCAAUCUCAAUUCCGGCUUGAGUUCCUUCAUUAAGGAGAGAGAGUCACCGCACUUUGAGAAAUCACCUUUGAUGCUUGAUAGGCAUGGAUGAAACCAAUUUUCCUCAUCCAAUAAUACUACAUUUUCAAGACUGAAAUUUCACCCUUGUGAAUUUUUAAUUCUAAAUGAGAAGCAAAAGGCAAAGAGGAAAUGAAAAUCAUGACGGGCAGAACAUUCAAACAAGGACAAUGUUGAGGAAUUUGAACAUUACUUUUACUCAUAUCACUGUCAAUAGUAAGUCAUGGUAACACAGAAGUAGAUAGUAACACAUAGCAACUACACCUGUUACCAUACAGCCAAUAUAAACUUGUGCAGAAUGAAUGAGAUUUCAUAUGAACGCCAGUAAAGAUAAAUUAUUCAAUACAACUCUAGCAAGAGAUUCUUUUUCAAAGUACUUAAAAGCAAUGAGGAUGACUUGACAGUCACU